Molecule: ribosomal RNA, 1119 nt
Filed under: Epicoccum plurivorum
Lineage: Eukaryota; Fungi; Ascomycota; Dothideomycetes; Pleosporales; Didymellaceae
Description: eukaryotic LSU rRNA
Rfam family: Eukaryotic large subunit ribosomal RNA (bases 496-1119)
Source: RNAcentral
UAACAAGGUUUCGGUAGGUGAACCUGCGGAAGGAUCAUUACCUAGAGUUGUAGGCUUUGCCUGCUAUCUCUUACCCAUGUCUUUACAGUACCUUCGUUUCCUCGGCGGGUUCGCCCGCCGAUUGGACAAAUUUAAACCCUUUGCAGUUGCAAUCAGCGUCUGAAAAAACAUAAUAGUUACAACUUUCAACAACGGAUCUCUUGGUUCUGGCAUCGAUGAAGAACGCAGCGAAAUGCGAUAAGUAGUGUGAAUUGCAGAAUUCAGUGAAUCAUCGAAUCUUUGAACGCACAUUGCGCCCCUUGGUAUUCCAUGGGGCAUGCCUGUUCGAGCGUCAUUUGUACCUUCAAGCUUUGCUUGGUGUUGGGUGUUUGUCUCGCCUCUGCGUGUAGACUCGCCUCAAAACAAUUGGCAGCCGGCGUAUUGAUUUCGGAGCGCAGUACAUCUCGCGCUUUGCACUCAUAACGACGACGAUCCAAAAGUACAUUUUUACACUCUUGACCUCGGAUCAGGUAGGGAUACCCGCUGAACUUAAGCAUAUCAAUAAGCGGAGGAAAAGAAACCAACAGGGAUUGCCCUAGUAACGGCGAGUGAAGCGGCAACAGCUCAAAUUUGAAAUCUGGCGUCUUUGGCGUCCGAGUUGUAAUUUGCAGAGGGCGCUUUGGCAUUGGCAGCGGUCCAAGUUCCUUGGAACAGGACGUCACAGAGGGUGAGAAUCCCGUACGUGGUCGCUAGCCUUUACCGUGUAAAGCCCCUUCGACGAGUCGAGUUGUUUGGGAAUGCAGCUCUAAAUGGGAGGUAAAUUUCUUCUAAAGCUAAAUACUGGCCAGAGACCGAUAGCGCACAAGUAGAGUGAUCGAAAGAUGAAAAGCACUUUGGAAAGAGAGUUAAAAAGCACGUGAAAUUGUUGAAAGGGAAGCGCUUGCAGCCAGACUUGCCUGUAGUUGCUCAUCCGGGUUUUUACCCGGUGCACUCUUCUAUAGGCAGGCCAGCAUCAGUUUGGGCGGUUGGAUAAAGGUCUCUGUCAUGUACCUCCUUUCGGGGAGAACUUAUAGGGGAGACGACAUGCAACCAGCCUGGACUGAGGUCCGCGCAUCUGCUAGGAUGCUGGCGUAAUGGCUG